UGCAGUGUAAAAAUAGCCUUUGGAGUCUAUAGCAGUUUGUUGGCUGACCUCCAUAUUGAGGAUGCUUCCAGCUGAGACAAGCAGUUGGGGUUGUUCUACUGCACUGAAGAUUUGUUCGGGCUGAUAGAUAAAGCUAUGAAUAGGAACCCCAAAUACUGGAACUCCAGCACUCAUUACAACCAAUAUAGCAUUGUAGUAAAAUGCUGUUCUUUUUCAACUGGCCUCUACAUAUUCUCACUUGUGAGAUUGGGGCUUCCUGGUGCUGAGCUGCGGAAUCUUCUAGAGAGCUGGGUCUGUUGGAGCUUUAGUUUCCUGUGGGGUGGUGAAGGUGUCUCAUUCUUCCUAUACAACGUCUUCUAAAAGAUACGGUGAGAUUUCCCAAAGGGUACGAGGGCCUUUGUUACCCAGGAGCACGACAAUCUUAUAACUUGGCGCUUCCUUUGCACCCCUGGAAUUUAGAUAGGUUUAUCAGUGUAAAUUGCUGGCUCUCCCUCAGGGACAGGAUUUGGGAAAGCGGUGGUGGCAGCAGAGGCAGCUCUCUGAGGAACUGUCGACCCAAGGAAAACUGGAGUCUGAGGCUUCUGUAUGUGUGAUGUCCACACCUGGAAUGAGAACACCAAACAAGAAAUUAGCAAGAAGUAGAUUCAAGUGUUGGACACCAGCCUUUAUCCUGUUGGAUCCUUAUCUGCAGCUAAUUACAGUUCACUGCACUAGAGGACUUGACAUUACCUUGUGACCAAAAAGCACAUACCAUGUGCUCUUUAGAUUUAGAGACUACUAUAUGUUCAUAUAUGUUUGAACACAGAAUUAAUACCCUUGUAUGUUAUCACUACACUAUUUGGCUGCUGAGAUGAAAAUCUAUGAUAAUACAUAUCUAGGACCACUCAUGGAUGUUCAUUGCAGUAUGAAUGGUAGGGUUUGGAGACAUUAUGGAGCCAUGGGCAGCAUGGGGAAGCUUGCUGCUGAACCUGUUCUGUCGAGAAAUAUAGGGCUUCAGUCUUCAGGGUUUCCAAUGUCGCUUUCGCAACAGCCAAAUUCCUGUAGCUGUAGAGGACACAAUAAAGAUCUUUAUGACUCUGGCUGACAAGGUCUGUGGUCUAGAAGUAAUGUUAUGGAUGCCAACUGCAGCGAUGACUCCUCCUCUCACAUUGGCCACUACAAAGCUGCCAGAUGACUGACUCUGUCAUUACUACACGUGGGCCAGAACCGUAGCACUUUGUCCAAAAGCCCCACUGACUCUGGGUCCAAAUCUGAGCUUGGAUUAGGCCAGUAUCCAGGACCAGGUCAUCUACAGCUCACACCAACGCCAAUGGAAUUAAAGCGAAGGCUGGCAAGGAGUGGGGGAAAUGCAGGCUUUCAGGCACUGGCCCUUGUUGGAGACAGGAGACUGGAUGAGUCGUUGGAUACGCUAAGCACAGCAGAAAAACAUACAAUCAGCAACUGCCCACCUGCUUCUAAUGUGUAUGAAGAGUAUGAACAUAGUAAGAAAGGCCUCAGCAUGUGGAGAACCACUAUACUAGCAGCCCCUUGUAAGCUGGAGCAGUGGAGCCUGCCCACAGAUGGAAGAGGAAACCAUAGUGAGAUAAGUGGAAGUAUAUUUUGGAAGGCACUGUCACAAUUACAAAUUUCAAACUCAAUAGUCCUUGAGAAAUUAAUAAUACGGACAAUCCCCCCCCAAUCGAUUUUAAUUAGUAAUUAGCAGUGUUAACAGCUAUUUCUGUUUUUAAGUCAUUAAUGAUUGCACUUGUAACACUGGCCAGUAAAUAAUGGUUACAGUUGAUGUGCUGUGGUAGGUUUAAGAUGAUAGCAAUAUAUUAAUUUUGUUAACAUUUCCUGUCUUGCGGCAUUAUUAGUUCAAAUUACUAUUUCUUUAAAAAUCCCCAACAUGCUUUGAACUCCAUGGCUUGUCUUUAUGAAGGAUAUGGACACAACAAUCGUGAAAAUAUUAUUAAAUUAAAUAGUAUUAUUAUUAAAAUAUAAGCCAAUUACCGUGUGUGUCUGUGUGUAUACACACUCUAUAAUGUUACCAGAAAUAACUAGGAUUAAAAAUGAGUGCUUGUAUAUUUUACUCUCCCCAUAAAAAUUAUAUUUUUAUAUAUAUAAACAUUCUUAAAAAUUUAAAAUACACAUUUAUGCAGGAGAUACACAUGACCAUUUCUUGUCAUACAUUAAAGGAGAUCAUAACAUAGUAAUAGUUAUAAACUGAUCAAUGUACUAUCUCUAUUAGAUACAAAAAUCAUGCAGCCCAGCAUCAAUGGGCGUUUUGUGGGGUGAUCAUGGCUUGAUGGAUAAGGGGUGUGUAUGUGUGUGUGGGGGGGGAGGCUGUUUUUCUAGGUAGGUUUUUUUUUUUUGCAUAUAUUGGUAGAUACACAUACACAUUUAAGUACCCUCCACAUGUAUUGUAACAAUCCCCCUCCCCUCUGUAAUUAUGAUUUUAAUUCCAUAGAUUUAUUUGAAAUUUAAAAUGUGACUGAUCAGAUUUAUUCCUAGCUAAGAAUCAAUAGAAAUAAAAUUUGACAUUUAAAUGUAUUUUGUAUCCGUAUAGAAAAAUGUAAACUACAAAGGUAAACACAUGGUUUAAUAGGCAUAACUUUUAUUUUGUAUUGACUGACUUUUUAAUUUACACUAUUAGAGGUAUAAGAAUAUUCAUUUGCAAAAAUGAAUAUGCCAAAAGGCCAAACAAUUUUUUUUUAAACAUGUAAUUAACUCAAGCUCAGUUAAAAGGGUAGGAAACUGGCAGUGAUCCAAAUACUAAGGUAAUGUCUUUAAUUUAAUUUGCUUAGGUUUAAUUUUUUAAUCUAGAUAAUUGCUCUAUGGUUACUAGUAACAAUGUUAUCUCAUAGCUGUAAUAUUUGGUACAGUACUUAAUUAUGAAUUAUGGUUUUCUUUGCAAUAAAGCAACGGUGCUCACUUAUUUUUAGAAAACUGCAUUCAUAGCAAAUCCGUAAUCCUCACAGCAAUGCUGCCUACUGACACUUUUUCAUUUGUUUCCCCAAAGACUUCUGGAAUCAUCAUUUAUUCCUUUGGGUUUUAAAGAAUGCCAGCAACUGCUAUAAGCUUAAUAAAUGUGAAAACACUAACUUUGUUGGGUUCUAGCUCCUGAUUCUCUUCCAGUUUCCAACCCACAAGAUUGAUUUUUAAAAUAAACAUUUGCAAAAAGGAAUGAUUAAAGGCCAAGGAAAAAAGAAAGUGAAGAUCAAAAGGUGUUUUCUUAAUUUAAAAUAUAUAGGGGACAUAGUAGCUUAGCAUAAAAUACAAAUGGUAUAUAUUGUAAUACCUCAAAGUGAGAUGGCAACCAACCAUGUGUAACGUUUCAAUGGUAUCCAUUUGUAAAAGCCGUUGCAAUCAAAGGUCCCUAAAAUUGUACAAUUAUUAAGGUCAUCAGUGUUCUAUACAUGGGAACAGAUUAUUAUUUUUUUGGCAAGUAAUUAUCAAAGGACUUGAAAGACUGUGUUGCCAGCAUGAAUAUGUGUUUAAGAAAGCUGUUCUCUGGUCACCACUGACUUGAUGUGUUGAAUUCUAAUCUUAUCUUUCCAAGACACUAAUCUUCUCACCCCCCACCCCUCUAAAUUUUCGGUUUUUUAAACAUUAGGAUUAGUAAAUGGACAAUGUUAAAAAAAAUAAAGAAUAAAAAAGACCCCCAUGUUCUCGAUAAGGUUAUGGGGGGAGAGGAGGAAUUAGGAGGCUGCCAAUCUGCACGUCAGAGAGAAAAUACUUCCUUAAAAAAUGAUAGUACAGACAAAACAAGAUGCCAAAUGUAUUAUUAUUAUUAGACAAUCAGGACGUUGCAAAAGUCAAAGUGCACAAGUUUUCAAGAACAAACAGGUCUUUUUCUUUAGGCGAAAAGUGGAAAUGAGGGGUGUUGUAAGUGGUGAUAGAUGGCAGUUUAAAUUGAUGUAGCUUUUGGCAGAAUAAUCAUAAUCCACAUUUCAGAGCACCACUGAUCCAAUGAGAUUGUCAAGUUACUUAAGUGACCUUACGAUGGGAAUGGAAUCGAACAAGAAUUCAGAACAUUAGGGCAAAACUAGAAGGCGCAAAAAGAUUUGGAGAGCGAAGACCUCCCUCUGUCUCCAAAACUGCACAAAAUAACAUGGCUGUUCUACUCUACAUCCAUAAGAUGAGAGAAGCUAGAGAUGGAAAUGACCAGAUCGGAGCAUCCAGCUUUCUACAUGUGCAGAUUAGAGACCCCCACAAGAAGAAAUCACAUAUCCAACUAAUGCUGUGCUGCGUGCGUGGAGGAGAGGAGGAGAGAAACAUUUCAAAGCUUCAAAUAUUUUUACUUACUUAAAAUGUAUUUGAAAGGAUGAAGUAUUGGGGAGGCGGAGCUGGCAGAUCUGGAUACCGAUGUUUACAGCGUAUAUCCAGUGAUUACUGAAGAAGCAACUGUAUGAGCCUCAUAAAAUACCACCUCACGUCUAACAGGAGCAGCAAUAUGGGCUAGAUCCUCAGCUAGUGUAAAUCAGAAAUGCUCCGUUCCUUUCGGUGGAGCAAUAUCGAUUUACACAGCUGAGGAUAUGGGACAGAUCUUUUAGGACAGUAAAAAUGGCAAGCCACCUCAAGCAGAGACUUCUCCAUAGAUGACCCCCUAACACUGAUGGAUUUUAUUGAGAUUGUCUUUUGGUACCCAUUGUGGUAAACUGGAAGUGGAAUAGAGCUAAGGACACUCAUUGAUUCUCCCUGGGAUCAAACUGAGGGAGCUCUGGAAUGUGAGUUAGAUGGAAACAAAUUCCCCUUGUUAAAAUAAAAUAAUCAUCGUAACGUACAGUGGCAUGCCAUUUGUAGUGAAUUCCACAAGACAGCAGCUCUCUUUAUAGUCAUGAAUGAAAACCCCAUUUCAGGGCACUGCCCUGUGCAAAAUGUAACCCUGAUAUUGAGAAUGAAGUUUUUCUGUGCAAACAUAACUAAAAAUAACACUAGUUUACUAGACGAGGAUUCUACUACAUACACAAGGAGAAGAGGGGAUGGAAUGCGAGUAUCCCCUAGGUAUUUACCACAUGGGAGAUAAAAUGGGUACUCAAAAGAUCUCAAAGGAAGAUUUCCCACGCUUACAGGAGCUGCUGACUGAUGCCAAUAUGCUGCUAAUAGUAGCACAAAUGGUUUAGCAAUAAGUGGCUAUAACACCACAACCAAUAAUAUAGGAAGACACAUCAGCAUCCAGGGUAAAAUCAUUCAAUUUGCAACUGCAAAAAUCAUAAGUAGAUGACAAGAAAACACUUGCUUUAGUGAUUUCCUGUAAGGAAGAGAGAAAACUAAAAGCCACCAAACAGAUUUCUAGAAGCUAGUCUAAUCUCUCCCCAUCUCUCCCCAGGGAGUUUUGCUGACUUAAAGGUAGGGGAUUAUUGUUUUCCAAUAUCAUUUUUGGCUGUCAGUCCAAGGAGAUCAAGAAUUAAGUGUUAUCCAUUCUCCCCUUCCACCCAAGGCACCAACCAGCUGAUGCAAGUCUCUACUUAGCUCAGCAUAAAAUCACUGUCUGAUGAUUCAGCAUUAAACAUGGGCAGGUACAGUUAACUUCCUCCACUGCUAGGGAUUUUAUUGUACUUGUGAAGUCUUGUUGAUCAGGCCCCACAUUUUCCACAUGCCUUAAAAGGUUUGGGUUCAAUUUACUAACCAAUUGCACAUGAAACCAUCCUGCACAGAACAUUUCACAGCAGAAGAACUUCAGCCUAAUAACUCAAACCUUCGAGUUUCUCAUAUGCAGAAUUUGUGGUCCCAGUCUUUACUAGCAGAUACUGUACCAGAGUAGUGUCAAGAAAGAUGUGGGAAAGAUUGUAUGCAUCUGUGAUUUCGAUCUCACCCACAACCCAGGGGUCCUCAGCAUAAAACUGAGGAUCUUCUAGAUUUCCUCAGACCCCACCACUCCUUUCCAGUGGCAUCUUUCCCUGAGGGUGAGAUGGUCCAGUGCCUAGAGCAAUUAUAAUCAAGGGGCAGGAUCCAUCAGAUGUGGCAGAGAAUGGGAUGCAUACAUUUUUUGUUCAAUAUGUGUUUUGACUUAGUUGUGUGUCUUAUUACAGUGCUCUGAUCA
Molecule: RNA transcript, 6022 nt
Organism: Trachemys scripta elegans
Lineage: Eukaryota; Metazoa; Chordata; Testudines; Emydidae
Gene: CCDC182
Gene name: coiled-coil domain containing 182
Exons: 10
Source: RefSeq, a predicted model, not a curated record